This 924-nucleotide ribosomal RNA is filed under the name uncultured bacterium. Its description in RNAcentral is "bacterial SSU rRNA". It matches the Rfam family "Bacterial small subunit ribosomal RNA", at positions 1 to 912 of the family's 1533-position model. The record is from RNAcentral.
UAGAGUUUGAUCCUGGCUCAGAACGAACGCUGGCGGCGUGCUUAACACAUGCAAGUCGAAUGCGAGGCGGGUCUUCGGGCGCGUAGUAGCAUGGCAGACGGGUGAGGAACACGUAUCUGACUGGACGCUACAGAGGGGGAUAGUCCUGCGAAAGUGGGUUGAAUACCCCAUAAUCUGCAUCGGGGAGCCGGUGUAGGAAAGUUGGCCUCUGCGAGCAAGCUGAUGCUGAGCGACAGGGAUGCGGCCUAUUAGCUAGUUGGUGCGGUAACGGCGGACCAAGGCGACGAUGGGUAGCUGGUCCGAGAGGAUGAUCAGCCACACUGGGACUGCGACACGGCCCAGACUCCUACGGGAGGCAGCAGUGGGGAAUUUUGCCCAAUGGGCGCAAGCCUGAGGCAGCAACGCCGCGUGAGUGAAGACGCCCUUCGGGGUGUAAAGCUCUGUCGAAGGGGACGAAGUCCGGGAGGUGAAGAGCCUGCCGGGAUGACGGUACCGUUGGAGGAAGCCCCGGCUAACUCCGUGCCAGCAGCCGCGGUAAGACGGAGGGGGCAAGCGUUGUUCGGAAUGAUUGGGCGUAAAGCGCCCGUAGGUGGUGCAGCAAGUGGCACGUGAAAGCCUCUGGCUUAACUGGGGAAGGGCGUGGUAGACUGCUGGACUUGAGUGCCGGAGGGGGAGGCGGAAUUCCUGGUGGAGCGGUGAAAUGCGUAGAGAUCAGGAAGAACGUCAGUGGCGAACGCGGGCUCCUGGACGGACACUGACACUGAGGGGCGACAGCGUGGGGAGCGAACGGGAUUAGAUACCCCGGUAGUCCACGCCGUAAACGAUGGGCACUAGGUGUGAGCCUGGAGACCAGGUUCGUGCCGGAGCUAACGCAGUAAGUGCCCGUCUGGGGAGUACGGUCGCAAGGCUGAACUCAAGGAAUGA